CAUUAGCCAUGUAGCUGGAAGCGCCACAGUGGGCGCUUCUACAAUGCUAUUAAGCCCUGCUGGAUGACUGCUGUGCAGUUGAAGGAAGUCGUCGUAUGAUCUGUGCUCGGCACCAUUAAUAAUGGAUGCGAACCAUUAAGAUGUUAAUGUACCUGGAGACUUCGGACCACACAUCUUGCUCAAGGAAUCCAGAGCAGUUGGCAAGAAGGUGGCGGGAACAGAACCAGCAACCCCAGCUUUACCCUGACGACUUGCUGUAGGCCCAACCACUGAUCUACUACUGCGGGCUCUGACACCUGGCUCGGCUCUCCUGCCCGCAGCCCGACGGAGAGAGAGAAGAGGGCUGGCAGUUGCGCUGGAAAUCUGCAAAGCGGGAUCUGAAGAGAAAUGCCCGGGCAUAAAUGGCAAGACUUUUACUUUGAAGGCCUGGUUCGUUUCAGUGUUGGGCAAGCUAGACAGCUAGACAGCUAGACAAUUUCAUAAAUUGA
Long non-coding RNA from Gadus macrocephalus (Pacific cod), 488 nucleotides. RefSeq lists it as uncharacterized. The transcript has 3 exons. Lineage: Eukaryota; Metazoa; Chordata; Actinopteri; Gadiformes; Gadidae. The record is from RefSeq and is a predicted model, not a curated record.